RNAcentral lists this small RNA (579 nucleotides) under Pongo abelii (Sumatran orangutan). RNAcentral describes it as "retained intron". The record is from RNAcentral. Lineage: Eukaryota; Metazoa; Chordata; Mammalia; Primates; Hominidae.
AUUAUUGUCCGAGUGGCCGGAACGGGAGCCAACAUGGCAGCGGGGUUCGGGCGAUGCUGCAGGGUCCUGAGAAGUAUUUCUCAUUUUCAUUGGAGAUCACAGCAUACAAAAGCCAAUCGACAACGUGAACCAGGAUUAGGAUUUAGUUUUGAGUUCACCGAACAGCAGAAAGAAUUUCAAGCUACUGCUCGUAAAUUUGCCAGAGAGGAAAUCAUCCCAGUUGCUGCAGAAUAUGAUAAAACUGGUGAAUAUCCGGUCCCCAUAAUUAGAAGAGCCUGGGAACUUGGUUUAAUGAAUACACACAUUCCAGAGAACUGUGGUAAGCUUUCUUUAUAUUUUUAAUACUGGAAUGCAUAUGAGUAAGAAAAAUUGUGGAACUCUACUCAGUCACUUUUUUCAAAUAUUUCUUGCCAUUAAAUGACUUUCUGCCUUUGUCUUCCUGCUCACACUACAGUGUUUGCCCACUUUUGGAAGCUUGUUCUCUAUACUUAGAUGCAUUUUUCCUUCUUCUAACUGGUUCCAACCUUAACUUGCACCCAAACCUUGGUAACUUCUGUUUCUAGAGUUGGUCAAUUUGUU